CCUACGGGAGGCAGCAGUGAGGAAUAUUGGUCAAUGGGCGAGAGCCUGAACCAGCCAAGUCGCGUGAGGGAGUACUGCCCUAUGGGUUGUAAACCUCUUUUGUCGGGGAGCAAAAGCCGGACGUGUCCGGCUGUGAGAGUACCCGAAGAAAAAGCAUCGGCUAAAUCCGUGCCAGCCACCGCGGUACUACGAAGGAUGCGAGCGUUAUCCGGAUUUCUUUGGUUUAAAGGGUGCGCAGGCGGGUUUUUAAGUCAGCGGUCAAAUAGUGGGGCUCAACCCCAUCCAGCCGUUGAAACUGGGGAUCUAGAGUGUGCGAGAGGUAUGCGGAAUGCGUGGUGUAGCGGUGAAAUGCAUAGAUAUCACGCAGAACCCCGAUUGCGAAGGCAGCAUACCGGUGCACAACUGACGCUCAGGCACGAAAGCGUGGGUAUCGAACAGGAUUAGAUACCCUUGUAGUC
This 458-nucleotide ribosomal RNA is filed under the name uncultured bacterium. Its description in RNAcentral is "partial 16S ribosomal RNA". It matches the Rfam family "Bacterial small subunit ribosomal RNA", at positions 338 to 795 of the family's 1533-position model. The record is from RNAcentral.